This is a long non-coding RNA of Sciurus carolinensis (gray squirrel), 6230 nucleotides long. RefSeq lists it as uncharacterized. The transcript has 3 exons. The record is from RefSeq and is a predicted model, not a curated record. Lineage: Eukaryota; Metazoa; Chordata; Mammalia; Rodentia; Sciuridae.
CCUUGAGGGAAGGUCUGGAGUGAAGAUGGUAACGGAAGGGUGGUCCCCGUUCAGAGCAGAGCGUGGGGGCCCCUGGGCUCAGGGCCAAAGGCGGCCCCUGGCACGGGGUGGACAGGGACCCACGCCAUCUGCCCUGCCAGCGGCCUCGGCUGCCUCAUCUGCAGGGCUGGCGACUGGACUGCCGACAUGACCAGCGUCCCCGGGGAGACACGGCCACGUGGCCCCAGGAGCAGCCCGCCUGUUCCUCCCAGGCCUCGCCCUCCAGCUUCCUUGUUUCCUCGUCCAUCUGGGCAGCGAGCUCCAGGGGAGAUGGAGGUGGUGGCCGGAGCAGCCACCAGCUCCCUUGCAAGCCCCCGGCAUGGAGAAGGGCCUUCUCCCUCCCCGACUCCCGAGGCCCAGGCGGACAGGAGAGAAGGGGGCUCCGGGGAAGAGCAGCGUGUCCCGCCAGGAGGACAGGGAGGACCGGCAGCGCCCACAAGGACUCGCAGCCACGUCAAUGUCACUCAUAUUUAAGCCGCAAGAUUGGAUGGAGGGCUCGCGGGGGUGCACGCGUGAUCCCAGUGAUUCCGGAGGCCGAGGCAGGAGGCUUACAAGUUCAAGGCCAGUCUCAGCAAAUUAUUGAGGCCCUAAGCAAUGUCUUCAGGACCCCAGAGUUUUGAAAACCUCUGCAAAGCCCACAGGCCAGCAGGGUCUCUCUCAGGGGCGGGGGUGGCCCUGAGAUUUCCCUUGCACAGCCCAGGGCUCCCGGAGAGGACCUGCGAUGCUCCCGGGCUCGAGUCUCCUCCGUCCUUACAGCGUGGGAUGCCAGCCCCACCAGGAGGGCGCCAAGGUACAGGCCUGGAGCGCCAGCCCCGGGCCUCCGAACAAUGGCCUCUUUGUCUGCUCUGCCUUCAGCUCCCAGCCCCGACCCCGAAGGGCCUGGGCCUCCUGGGAAACUCCAGCCUCCCACGUCAUCUCCUCCUUGGCACUUGUCCCCAGACGGGACGAGCCAGUGUCACCAGAACAGAAUCAGACUACAUCGUCCACCCCUCACCGAGGCCCCGGACAGCGCCGAGACCACCCUGCCCACCCGGGGCGCCCGGCCAGCCCAGGGGCACCCGCGCCCCAGCCGGCAGGCCUUGCCAGUCGUCUGGGCACUGAAGGGAGGAGCGUCGCCAGAGUUGCCUCAGCUCCUGGGCCGGAAGGUGCCGGAGCUCCAGCGCCAGCCUCAGGAACGGUUCCGAGGCCUGGGAGGCACCCAGCGCCAGGGGACCCUCAGGGUCAUCGUCCCCACCCUGCCCCAGGCAAUCCCAGAGAAAGUGGGGAUGACCCCAGGACCGUUUCCUAAGGUGUCGCAGGACUCAGGAAGGUGAGGCUGUGUGUCCAGUUUCUCCCACUGACGCCCAGACCUGGGUUCAGAGACGGGCAUGGGUAUCUAGUUUUUUAUUUAUUUACUGAUUUUUGCAGUGUAAGGGGUUGAACCCAGAACCUUCCACAUGCUGGACAAUUGCUGUACCACUGAGCAACACCCCCACCUGUUUUACUUUUUGUCUUGAGACAGGUCUCACUAAAUUGCUGAGACUGGCCUCUAAUUAGCAAUCCUCCUGCCUCGGCCUCCCAAGUGGCUGAGAUUAUAGGCGUGCACCACUGCGCCCAGCUUCAGUAUUUUAAAUGGAAACGUAUACAUUUGUUUCUCAGAAUUGCCCGAAGGCCUGACAGGCUCAUGGCCCAGUGUCCAAAACUCACAAAGAAACAAAGGCUGGUAUUCAGAGCACGGCCCUUGGUGCAUGUUUGGUUUGGCCCUUUGGUUUGGGAGACCGACCCACUUCCCUCCCUGCGUCCUGUUAGCCUCAGACUGGCUGCUGCAGCCUGAACCCAAAGCCACAGAAAGAGUCCCAGGCGGGAGCCCACCCAGGCCCCGUGCCCCGUCAGCAGUCCACCCCCCCAGGGUCCAUGGACAUGAGACCUGCCUCCCAACCCAGCAGGGGCUUCUCAACUCUGCGUGACUGCCCCCAACUCCACCUCGCACACUUAAUGUCCACAAGAGGCAGGUCGCAAAGCCCCCGCUGGCCAGAGCACCUGACCCCAGGUCACAGGCAGCCCGUCAUGUGGCACCUCCCAAGGGCAGGGCGGUGGCAACUCCAGCCCUGCACUCACCUCCCGCAGCCGGACACUGUCCAGCCCCUUGCUCCAGCUGACGCCACCGUCAGAGCUCCCUGCAAGGCGACCUCCAAGGACGGCCCACUCCAGGCCGCUCCUCCUCCUCCCGAGGCUCGGCUGGCUUCCCUCCCCAGAUCCCACCACCCAGGGUUCUUGUGCGAACGUGCACCGUGCCGCACCCGGGGCCAGCGGGCCCACAGGAAGCCCUCGGCCUGCUCUGGGAGGCCUCUGCCAUGAAGCUGGCCUCAGAAUCACCCCUUCAGAGGCAGGGGUGGCAGAAGGGGGCAUGGACAGCUCAUCCUGGUGCCCCUCUGGCAGGAGCCACGUAGGAAGAGGCGGAGACAGAAGGCUUCGCCCAGGUACCUGGGUAGGAGCCGUCACAGAGAGCACACAGAAGUCACAGCCAUAACUAUACAGCUGUCCCCUCGUCCACCAGGGACACAUCCCAGGACCCCAGUGGAUGCCCGAAGCAGACACUCUAUGCUUUUGCCCACACAUGCCUUUGACAAAGUCCAGUUUAUAAAUUAAGCAUGGGCCAGGCGUGGUGGCACAUGCCUGUAAUCCCAGAGACUCGGGAGGCUGAGGCAGGAGGAUCCCAAGCUCAAGGCCAGUAUCAGCAACUUAGCAAGAUCCUGUCUCAAAUUUUAAAAAAUAAAGCUCAGUGGCAAAGUGCCCCUGGAGUCGAUCCUCGGUACCAAAAAAGAUUUUUAAAAAUAAAUUCGGCACAUAAAAGAUCAAUAGGUAAAACUAAAAUUGAACAAUUACAAGGAUUCACCAGACAGAGGGUGGUUGGCAUCCCAAGCGCCACAGCACGUGAUCUCGUCCUGCUAGUCAGGACAACACAAUUGAAAACUUACGACUCGUUCAUUUCUGGAAUUUUCCAUGCUGUAUUUUUGGACUGUGGUUAACCACAGGAAACACACUGCAGAAAGCGGAACCAUGGAUCGGGGGACAACCCGAGGCUCAGCCCAGGGUCCCCACCAUGCACCCGUCCAGUGACUCCCUGGGAACCUCUGCCACACCCUGGGAGCCGUCAUCGUCCCCACUGGACAAAGGAAAGUGACUCAGCCUUGAAGUCAGGCGUGAGAGUCCCCAGGCGCGUGAGCGGCAGAGCGAGACUCGAACCCAGGCCAGCCAGCUCCCUGGCCCACCUGGACCGGCCACCACGCUCCACACCUAGAGGCCAAAACCCGCCUGCUGCAGCGCACGCAGCGAACGCCCCGCAGGCAGGGCGCGAGCCAGCCCUGCGCCACCUCUGCCUGGGAAGUCCUGCACGCCCCACCGCGUCCCCACCUCCUGGAGGCCACAGACACAGCCACUCCGAGCACAAAGACGGCCGACGGCCGAUGGCCACGGCGAGGGCAGCACCCGGCCACGGAGAGCUGGGACUCUCCCCGCCCUGGGCCCUCGGGUCACCUCUGGCCAGCUCUGGCCCUCCCAGUCUCCGCCAUCAAGCACUGGCUGCUCGCAGUCGCCGCCGGGUCAACACCGCUGACCCUCCUCUUCCUAGAGCGCUGGACGCGGCUGCGGGAUGCGCGCCCACCCAGGCACCCCGAGCUGGCGGCAGGGACCCGCCCUCCGGCCUCGCUCCGCCCACCGAUGGCCCUGCUCCCCUGCUCCUGGUGACCCCGUCGCUGCCUCCCAGGUCUCCGUGGAGAGCCGGGUGGGAUUCGCUCUCCACACAAGCCUGGCUUUGUCUCUCGACUGAAAGGCGGACUCGGUCUUGGGCCACCGUCCUCAGGGGGAACAGAGGUGACCCAGACGGGAGCCCACGAGGCCCCGAGGCCAGCGGGGAGCUGGGCUGCCUGCUGCGCUCUGUCCCUGGAAUUCGUUCUCAGGAACACUUGGCGAGUCACCCCUCAGCCCAGGGCCUCGCUGGGGCAGCGGCUUCCUCUCUGGUGCUAGUAAAUACGGACAGCCACGCGGAGCCCCCUGCGGCCAGCACUGCCGGGCUGGGAGGCAGGUGCUCUCAGGACCAGAGCGGGCAGGCCCCCGGCAGCGGCUCCCCAGGGCUCCGAGGCUCAGCCCUAGGACGCGAGAGCCGCGCAGCUCCCCAGGCCCAACCAGGGUCCUGACCCACGCUGGCGUCAGUGGACAGAGGCCAGGAGAGCCGCUUCAACACCCCACGCUGCACAGAACUGCCUCCCACAGCAAAGACGCUCCAGCCCCAGACACCAGGCGUGAGAAGCCCUGCGGGGACAGGUGGCCUGGGGGACAGGCGGCCUGGGGUCAGCCUGGCCCUGUCACCGCCAGCCGGGAGACUUGAAACACACUUCCUAAACCCCUCGAGCCUUGCUCUCCUCAUCUGUAAAGUGGGCAUAAGGCUCUGUCGAGGUGAUUGAAUCAUGAAGCACAGGCGAGGCCCUUAGCUUCUGCUCCAGGAUCGGCCAGGGAGUGGGGCCGGGGUCCAGCAGGCAGGAGGCCCUCCCAGCACCACGGAGUCCUAGACCACAGAGCCUGGGGACAUGUCCCUCAUGUGGAAAAGGGGUCUCUGCAGAGGCCGUUAAGCUAGGAUCCCAGAUUCCAUCGAGCUGGACCACGGGGCGGGCCCUUCGUCCCCAGGGACUGCCCCAAGCUGUCCUCCUGCACCUGGCUCAGGACAGUGGGAAGGGGCAGCAUGUCCUCACACACCGCCGGGCAGCCUGGAAAUGCUGACGUCACUGGCUGAGGUCCCAAGCCCCCACCCUCUCUGGGCUGUAGCCUCCACUCCCUGACCUCUAACACCGAGAAGGCCGGGUGCAGCUCCCUAGAGCACUUGCCUGCAAGGCCCCGACUCCAUCCCCAGCACCUCCAAAGCAAAGGAACGGCCAUGAAGUCAGGAGGCAGCCUGGGCCAACUGCCUCCCACAUGUCCUCAAUGUUGAACCCUGGAUGUGGCUAGUGACCUCCUGAUAGAUCUCCAGGCCCAGGUUAGGCCUGCGAUUCAACAGUGCUACUAUUACACCCCAGACAGGGUGGCUGGACCCACAGGGCCGGGGCAAGCUCUCCAGAAGUCAGGUGGACAAAGCAAGAAGCAGAAACGUAUCUGGCAUAAAAAUGCACCUGUAUGAAAAUAGAAAUGGGCCACCUAGACUUACAGGGUCUUGCCAAGUUGCUGAGGCUGGCCUCAAACUUGCGAUCCUCCUGCCUCAGCCUCCCGAGUUGCUGGGCUUACAGACCAGUACCACAGUGCCUGGCUCUACCAACACCUCCAGCCGCCUUGUUGUGUGGAUUGUACUCAACAGGUGACAUACAUGGUAUGUACAUGACACCUCAGUAGAGGUGCUUCUGAAAAGCACUCCCACCUGCUGAGGAGUCACCAUGGAGGACGAUCCCAACAGCUCCGUCACUGAUGGUCUGUGCAGCUAGGAGGGGUCUGAGGGGGAGGGCCAGCUGGGUCCUCAGAGACACAGGGAUGCUGGGAAGCCCAAGGCUUCCGUGCGCUCCCACCUGGCCCUGGCCCUGGCCCAGGCGGUGCGGUGAGCCUGUCCUCUGAGGCAGACAGCAUGGCCAGCCAGGGGUGCGGAGUGGACGUGGGCAGUCAAGUCCCAACUCUGCCUCUCGCUAGCUGUGUGGCCUCGGGCAAGUCAUUUUAUCUCCGAGUUACAGCUUCCUUACUUAAAACUAACUGAUAACCGUAAUUUACUAAUGGGUACAGAAAAUCAGACAACCCACGUCGACUACCAGCACAGCUCCUGAGCCACAGUAAUCCUCCCAAAACGCUGGCAGCAGGGACAACAAACGUGGCUUCGUUAUUCAGAAAAAUGGUUGGUCUCCCAACAAGGGGUGGAGGGGCGAACGCUUCCCCUGAGAGGCAGGCCCUGCUUGUUUCUUUCUGUGCAAGACAGAGAGCCACGUUCCAGGGACUUGCAUGGAACUUUCUAGAGUCAACUCACCCCCUAGUAGCGAAGGCAGUGUUGAAUUUAAGGUGGAUUCUCCCACGAAAGCUCACAACCAGCGAUCCAUCUCCACUGAGGACAACCUGGGACCAAGACCAAGCCAGCGCCCCCGCGCCAGAGAGGGAGCCAGCCAGCCAGGAACCUGGGCAGGACCAGGCCUGAGGCUUGACAAUAGCAGUUAACAACAGGGAUCCUCUCCUGUCCUUAAGGACGC